ACGGGAGGCAGCAGUGGGGAAUAUUGCACAAUGGGCGAAAGCCUGAUGCAGCGACGCCGCGUGAACGAAGAAGUAUUUCGGUAUGUAAAGUUCUAUCAGCAGGGAAGAUAAUGACGGUACCUGACUAAGAAGCACCGGCUAAAUACGUGCCAGCAGCCGCGGUAAUACGUAUGGUGCAAGCGUUAUCCGGAUUUACUGGGUGUAAAGGGAGCGUAGGCGGUAUGCUAAGUCUGAUGUGAAAGCCCGAGGCUCAACCUCGGUACUGCAUUGGAAACUGGUAAACUAGAGUGUCGGAGGGGUAAGUGGAAUUCCUAGUGUAGCGGUGAAAUGCGUAGAUAUUAGGAGGAACACCAGUGGCGAAGGCGGCUUACUGGACUGUAACUGACGUUGAGGCUCGAAAGCGUGGGGAGCAAACAGGAUUAGAUACCCUGGUA
Molecule: ribosomal RNA, 434 nt
Filed under: uncultured Roseburia sp.
Lineage: Bacteria; Bacillati; Bacillota; Clostridia; Lachnospirales; Lachnospiraceae
Description: bacterial SSU rRNA
Rfam family: Bacterial small subunit ribosomal RNA
Source: RNAcentral